CUCAUCCUACCUUCGUCUUUUCUCGAUUAAUUAAUGGUGAUAAGUCUUCUCCACUUCACCUGUCCUCUCUGAUUCCUCUCUCUCUCUCUCUCUCUCUCUCUCUCUCAGCGAAAAGAAAGGGGUCGCCUGAGAUCACGGACGAAGAUGGCGAAGGCCGUCGCGGUUCUCUGUAGCAGUGAUAGCGUCAAGGGCACCGUGUACUUCGCCCAGGAAGGGGAUGGUCCGACUACCGUGACUGGCACGAUUUCUGGACUCAAGCCUGGACUUCAUGGGUUCCAUGUUCAUGCUCUCGGUGACACCACCAAUGGUUGCAUGUCCACUGGGCCGCAUUUUAAUCCUGCGGGGAAGGAACAUGGAGCGCCGGACGAUGCGGGCCGCCACGCCGGCGAUCUUGGGAAUGUGACCGCCGGGGAGGAUGGUACUGUCACUUUCUCCAUCACUGAUAGCCAGAUUCCCCUCUCCGGUCCAAAUUCCAUUAUCGGGAGGGCUGUUGUGGUCCAUGCCGAUCCAGAUGAUCUUGGAAAAGUUUCUAGCCUUGUGGGAAAUGUUUCUUGUAUCUGGUAGCCUCAUCUCCAUCCAUGCCCGUGCUGCCAAUCUUGGAAAUGUUUCUUGUAUUUGACGGCCUGGUGUGCAUAAGAUGUGCUGAUUGCGGUGACCGGUGGGCAUGAGCUGAGCAAGACCACUGGGAACGCAGGCGGAAGGGUUGCCUGUGGCAUUAUUGGAUUGCAAGCUUGAUCAUCUUUUUCACCUAUUGGUUGGAUGCUGAGGUUUUGUCAUAGAGUACAUUAGAACAACUAUUUGAGUUCCAAAGAAUGUGUACUGAAACUCUCCUUUGAGACAUCCCUUUCUGCAUGCUUUAUUUGGAAACCUUUACAUUAGCUAUGAAAAAUAAAACAACUUGGGGAGAUGAAUUCACAACA
Musa acuminata AAA Group (dessert banana) is the source of this 920-nucleotide RNA transcript. It is a transcript of the gene named superoxide dismutase [Cu-Zn]-like, with no coding region annotated. NCBI's taxonomy places the organism in Eukaryota, Viridiplantae, Streptophyta, Magnoliopsida, Zingiberales, Musaceae. The record is from RefSeq and is a predicted model, not a curated record. The transcript is spliced from 9 exons.